Molecule: ribosomal RNA, 500 nt
Filed under: uncultured bacterium
Lineage: Bacteria
Description: bacterial SSU rRNA
Rfam family: Bacterial small subunit ribosomal RNA
Source: RNAcentral
GAUGAACGCUAGCGGCAGGCUUAACACAUGCAAGUCGAGGGGUAUUGGUUUUCGGACCAAGAGACCGGCGCACGGGUGCGUAACGCGUAUGCAAUCUACCUUUUGCAGAGGGAUAGCCCCAGAGAAAUUUGGAUUAAUACCUCAUAGUAUAGUACUUUGGCAUCAAGGAACUAUUAAAGUCACAACGGCAAAAGAUGAGCAUGCGUCCCAUUAGCUAGUUGGUAAGGUAACGGCUUACCAAGGCUACGAUGGGUAGGGGUCCUGAGAGGGAGAUCCCCCACACUGGUACUGAGACACGGACCAGACUCCUACGGGAGGCAGCAGUGAGGAAUAUUGGACAAUGGGCGCAAGCCUGAUCCAGCCAUGCCGCGUGCAGGAAUAAGGUCCUAUGGAUUGUAAACUGCUUUUAUACAGGAAGAAACACACCCUCGUGAGGGUACUUGACGGUACUGUAUGAAUAAGGACCGGCUAAACUCCGUGCCAGCAGCCGCGGUAAAGUG